RNAcentral lists this transfer RNA (77 nucleotides) under Oceanobacillus arenosus. Its description in RNAcentral is "tRNA-Arg". It matches the Rfam family "tRNA". Rfam says of the family: Transfer RNA (tRNA) molecules are approximately 80 nucleotides in length. Their secondary structure includes four short double-helical elements and three loops (D, anti-codon, and T loops). The record is from RNAcentral. Lineage: Bacteria; Bacillati; Bacillota; Bacilli; Caryophanales; Bacillaceae.
GCGCCCGUAGCUCAAUUGGAUAGAGUAUCUGACUACGAAUCAGAAGGUUGUAGGUUCGAUCCCUGUCGGGCGCACCA